UCUGGUGAUGAUGGCAUGGAAGUAACACUCCUACCCAUUCCGAACAGGAUAGUUAAGAUCCAUAGCGCUGAAGGUACUGCAUGGGAGACUGUGUGGGAGAUUAGGACGUUGCCAGGU
Clostridium taeniosporum is the source of this 117-nucleotide non-coding RNA. The record is from Rfam. NCBI's taxonomy places the organism in Bacteria, Bacillati, Bacillota, Clostridia, Eubacteriales, Clostridiaceae.